Molecule: ribosomal RNA, 253 nt
Filed under: uncultured bacterium
Lineage: Bacteria
Description: partial 16S ribosomal RNA
Rfam family: Bacterial small subunit ribosomal RNA
Source: RNAcentral
UACAGAGGCCUCGAGCGUUAGGCGGAAUCACUGGGCUUAAAGCGUGUGUAGGCGGACUUCUAAGUACCUUGUGAAAUCCCACGGCUUACCCGUGGAACGGCUGGGUAUACUGGGAGUCUUGAGCCACCUAGGGGCGAGUGGAACAAAUGGUGGAGCGGUGAAAUGCGUAGAUAUCAGGAGGAACACCGAUGGCGAAGGCAGGUCUCUGGGCCACUACUGACGCUGAGAAGCGAAAGCAUGGGGAGCGAACAGG